Molecule: ribosomal RNA, 497 nt
Filed under: uncultured bacterium
Lineage: Bacteria
Description: partial 16S ribosomal RNA
Rfam family: Bacterial small subunit ribosomal RNA
Source: RNAcentral
GAUGAACGCUGGCGGCGUGCCUAAUACAUGCAAGUCGAGCGAACAGACGAGGAGCUUGCUCCUCUGACGUUAGCGGCGGACGGGUGAGUAACACGUGGAUAACCUACCUAUAAGACUGGGAUAACUUCGGGAAACCGGAGCUAAUACCGGAUAAUAUAUUGAACCGCAAGGUUCAAUAGUGAAAGACGGUUUUGCUGUCACUUAUAGAUGGAUCCGCGCCGCAUUAGCGAGUUGGUAAGGUAACGGCUUACCAAGGGAACGAUGCGUAGCCGACCUGAGAGGGGGAUCGGCCACACGGGAACUGAGACACGGUCCAGACUCCUACGGGAGGAAGCAGUAGGGAAUCUUCCGCAAUGGGCGAAAGCCUGACGGAGCAACGCCGCGUGAGUGAUGAAGGUCUUCGGAUCGUAAAACUCUGUUAUUAGGGAAGAACAAAUGUGUAAGUAACUAUGCACGUCUUGACGGUACCUAAUCAGAAAGCCACGGCUAACUACGUG